This 215-nucleotide unclassified non-coding RNA is filed under the name Hevea brasiliensis (rubber tree). Lineage: Eukaryota; Viridiplantae; Streptophyta; Magnoliopsida; Malpighiales; Euphorbiaceae. The record is from RNAcentral.
CUGUUCAAGUUUUCUGCAGAAUCGGAUAGGAAUCCAUUGGUUAAAGAGGACAAGAGACUAUGGUUUGUUUGGGAAUUCAACAGUUGACAGAUUGCAGCUUCUGACUUGCAAAUGCCAGCAGGCAGAAAGUGUUGGUGGUUUAACUGCAGAAGAUGGAAAUGGAACCUGGUUUGUAGAUAGUUCAAGGGCAUUACACCUUAAUGGUGUGAUAAAUC